GUCAUCUAUGCCAUUCAAAAUUAUUAAAUUUCUGCGUCAGUAAAAUUUUGUUUGAAAAAUUCUGUAGACUUACUUAAUGUGAAAUUUUGCGUAGUACAGCCCAAGACGCAUUCAUUGAAGGUGAAGGCAUUGGACUAACAACAACAUUUUGCUCGAUGGAAUGCCAUGCCAAAAGAAAAUAAAAAAGAAAAGGACGAACUGCCUUGAAUAGCAUUAGAAUCCAGAAUCAUACAACGAUUGUGCGAAUGGGACGACUUUUCGUCAAAUCAUUUUGUGCUGGCAUCCGAAUGUACGUGGCGAAAGAAAGAAAAAACAAAUCAGCUAAUCUACUGAUAUCACCUUUAAUAGAUUCGCCUUGGUACAGCCGAUUUGUUAUAUUCGACUUCGACAGAGUGACCUUUUUCAAAGAUUGUAAAUAUUUGAAACUUUGCAUGAACAUUUUUAGGAUUUCCUUGAACACAUCUCCUUUUUGUUUGCUCAAACGAAAUCUUUGAUAGCUUUCUGCUAGCACGUCGACUACAUUAAACCAAAAUGCCAAGCAAAAUAGCCACGAAGUUACCAAUUUAUUACCCAUCUAAGGAGUUACUGUUAAUAAAUAUCGGCAUGAAUUUUCACACAGCAUGAAAGCAGGUUUCGGGUGAAUUAACGUAGGAACGAAAUGCGCUAUCAAUUCAAUAGAAUGUACGCAGCGCAGAAACACUGGAACACAGGAAACAUCAUUUGAGCCAUUUUCUUGAAAUCGUUAAUGAAAACACACAAAGCGGCUAUCUCAAAGUGGCUCUCAACUGGCUGAGAACCAACAAAAGAAAUACUAAAUGGGUAAUUUCGGCUACAAACUGGCGACCUCGUGCAAGCAAAGAAGUGGACAGAAUUUUAGUAUAUCUAAGAAUGUAAAUAUGUGGGUUUAGAGUUAAGAGAACCUUCUUUAAGUUAUCUGAAGUAAACAAAAAAAAAAAAAAUGAAUUAAUUACGUGCCUCACAGCUAAGCUCAUGGAGACAGAGUGGAAAAUGAGCAAAUAACACAGAAGCUCCUAUUCAAAUGUUAAAAAACAUUUCUAAUUUGCAAAUGUUUACGUAUUUAAAAUGUAAAUUAACCCUUAACAAUCAGUGUUUUCGAAAUUUGUUUAGGUAUAAAAAUUUU
Long non-coding RNA from Anastrepha ludens (Mexican fruit fly), 1141 nucleotides. RefSeq lists it as uncharacterized. The record is from RefSeq and is a predicted model, not a curated record. Lineage: Eukaryota; Metazoa; Arthropoda; Insecta; Diptera; Tephritidae. The transcript has 4 exons.